CAACCUCAAAUUAGUUUUCCAUUUGGUUUGUGGUUUUGUGGCUGCACAUUUCCAACCUUAAAUUCUGCCAUCGAAUCUUUCUUUCUGCUCAUUUCUUGUUUCUUUCAAACACAACCCAAAAUCUCUGGGGAAUUGCUAGAUUCCCUGCUUCUCCUUGCAGCUGAUUUUGGGUUCUGACCCAAAGGUUAUAUUCCCAACUGGGUUUUGUUGAAUCUUUGUUGGUGGUUGUAAAUUUUGUGUUCAGGGUUUGAAAGUUGAUUUUUUUUUUCUUCUUCUUCUGGAUUCUGGAUUCAAUUCCCUCGUGAGCCUCCAAUAGUAUUUGCUUGAAUUGGGGUAUUUUUAUUUAUCAGAAUUGUUAGGCUCAAGGCUUGAAACCUGAAAAUGACGAUUGGUAGUUUAGCACCGAGGGCAGAGAAGAAGAGAUCAAGGAAGAACAAGGCAGUUGUUAAUGAGAAUGCACCCUUGUUGCCGAAAAGUCUUGUUCAGGAGAGUGAUUCUGGGUUUGAUGAUUUCAAUGGAGCUUCAUUUUCUGGGGCUGUUUUCAACUUGUCCACCACAAUUAUCGGUGCCGGAAUCAUGGCCUUGCCUGCAACCUUGAAGCAGUUGGGGAUGGUGCCUGGUCUUGCUGCCAUCAUCAUCAUGGCCUUGUUGACAGAGAAGUCAAUUGAGCUUUUGAUUAGGUUUACCCGGGCAGGGAAGUCUGUUUCUUAUGCUGGACUUAUGGGGGAUUCCUUUGGGAAGUAUGGAAAAGCUCUGGUGCAGAUAUGUGUUAUAAUCAAUAACAUUGGUGUGCUGAUUGUUUACAUGAUUAUAAUUGGUGAUGUGCUCUCCGGAACAUCUUCAGGUGGAGAUCAUCACUAUGGUAUCCUCGAAGGAUGGUUUGGUGUGCACUGGUGGACUGGACGGACGUUUGUUGUCCUUUUUACAACACUUGCGAUAUUUGCACCGCUGUCAAGCUUUAAGCGAAUUGAUUCAUUGAGAUUCACAUCUGCCCUUUCAGUUGCACUAGCAGUUGUUUUUCUAGUCAUUGCUGUGGGAAUUGCAAUUGUGAAGAUAAUAAGUGGAGGUGUUGCGAUGCCCAGACUCUUCCCGGUUGCUACUGAUGUGGCAUCAUUCUUUAAACUAUUCACUGUAGUUCCUGUCUUUGUGACUGCCUAUAUCUGCCACUACAAUGUUCACAGCAUUGACAAUGAACUUGAGGACUCCUCACAGAUGCGAGGGGUUGUACAAACCGCCCUUGCUCUGUGCUCUUCAGUGUAUGUAAUGAUAAGCUUCUUUGGGUUCCUCCUAUUUGGUGAAGGAACUCUUGAUGAUGUGCUGGCCAAUUUCGAUACCAAUCUUGGAAUUCCUUUCGGUUCUGUGCUCAAUGACGCUGUUCGAAUAAGCUAUGCUGCACAUCUCAUGCUUGUAUUUCCAGUUGUCUUCUAUCCUUUGCGGCUCAAUAUAGAUGGUCUCUUCUUCUCUUCAUCAAGGCCUCUGGUUUUGGACAACUUCAGAUUUGCAUCACUCACUGCUGCUCUAAUUGGUAUUAUCUUCCUUGGAGCAAAUUUCAUACCUAGCAUUUGGGAUGCUUUCCAGUUCACCGGAGCAACUGCUGCAGUCUGUAUAGGAUUCAUUUUUCCAGCUGCCAUCACUCUUAAGGACCGUUACGACAUUGCAACCAAAUCAGACAGGAUUUUGUCUAUCGCUAUGAUAGUCUUGGCAGUCUUCUCAAAUGUUGUGGCUAUUUACAGUGAUGCCUAUGCCUUGAUCAAACAGAACAAAACUUCACGAGAGUGAUGGUCAUGAUUUUAGAUGAGAGGAACUGAAUUGAUAGGGCUAUUGAUCAAUUUGAAAAUCAGGGUUUUCAAAGAGCGUUUGAUGGGUUGAUUUGAAUAAACAGAGAAGCUACCCUGUGUACAAACUUGCUUCAGAAGUGUCGAGGCCUGCAACAAGCGUUCAGCCUCCUUUGUAAUUUGCCAUUUUGUUGUUUUCGUUGAAGUUUUUAUUGAAUAUUACUCUCUUUCCCUGAUUUGUUCUUCCUCAAAUGUAAUGAUAGAAACCUUUGAUGGCAUUUGUAUUUAUUGUAUUGGGUGAAGGAAUGAAGUAUGAAAGAAUAGUAUAUAGUUCAAGAAUUGGUCAAGAGCAAAACUGUAGCAGCUUUCAUUUA
This is a non-coding RNA of Cajanus cajan (pigeon pea), 2149 nucleotides long. The record is from RefSeq and is a predicted model, not a curated record. NCBI's taxonomy places the organism in Eukaryota, Viridiplantae, Streptophyta, Magnoliopsida, Fabales, Fabaceae.